GAAGAAAUGAUAGUGGCCUGAACCAGGGUAAGUCUUGUGUAGGUGGUUGAGAAGUGAUUCCUCUGGAAGGUAAAGUUACUGAUGGAACUGAAGGGAGGACAUGAAAGAGUCAAGGAUGACUCCAAGACUUUCGACCUGAGUGAUUCAAAGGAUGGAGUUACCAUCAGGUGAAAUGCGGGAAAGUUCAGAUGGAACAAAUCUGAGAGAAAGCUGAGCUCUGGGCCAUAUGGAUCCUUUAAAAGAGACAGAUGCAUGAAGUUUGGAGCAGUGAAUGGGACUGCUUGAGAAGAUAACCAAAGACGGGAAUCGAGAUUUGGACCUACCUCUUACCACUAUCCUCAUGAUGGAGAGGCAAAGGAUUUGCUCUGUACCUGACUGCAUUAUGAAACACCUAUUUGCCUGACCCACCCCUCCUCAGGCUGCACCACCCAGGACACUAUGAAAAUGAAGUUGCAACUGACUGGAAGUCAGCAGUACUACACCGG
Molecule: long non-coding RNA, 485 nt
Filed under: Homo sapiens (human)
Lineage: Eukaryota; Metazoa; Chordata; Mammalia; Primates; Hominidae
Description: non-protein coding lnc-GNG5-1:2
Source: RNAcentral